This 425-nucleotide ribosomal RNA is filed under the name uncultured cyanobacterium. RNAcentral describes it as "bacterial SSU rRNA". It matches the Rfam family "Bacterial small subunit ribosomal RNA", at positions 356 to 795 of the family's 1533-position model. The record is from RNAcentral. Lineage: Bacteria; Bacillati; Cyanobacteriota.
GGGGAAUUUUCCGCAAUGGGCGAAAGCCCGACGGAGCAAUACCGCGUGAGGGAUGAAGCAUCGUGGUGUGUAAACCUCUUUUCUUAACGAAGAAGUCCUGACGGUAGUUAAGGAAUAAGCACCGGCUAACUCCGUGCCAGCAGCCGCGGUAAUACGGGGGGUGCAAGCGUUGUCCGGAAUGAUUGGGCGUAAAGCAUCUGUAGGUGGUUUUUAAAGUCGACUGUUAAAGCCCAGGGCUCAACUUUGGAUAAGCGGUCGAGUACUUAAGGACUUGAGUUUGAUAGGGGUAACAGGAAUUCCCAGUGUAGCGGUGAAAUGCGUAGAUAUUGGGAAGAACACCAGCGGCGAAAGCGUGUUACUGGGUCUGCACUGACACUGAGGGACGAAAGCUAGGGGAGCGAAAAGGAUUAGAUACCCCAGUAGUC